Molecule: transfer RNA, 57 nt
Filed under: Sarcophilus harrisii (Tasmanian devil)
Lineage: Eukaryota; Metazoa; Chordata; Mammalia; Dasyuromorphia; Dasyuridae
Rfam family: tRNA
About the family: Transfer RNA (tRNA) molecules are approximately 80 nucleotides in length. Their secondary structure includes four short double-helical elements and three loops (D, anti-codon, and T loops).
Source: Rfam by way of RNAcentral
AGCUCAAUUGGUAGAGCAUGAGACUCUUAAUCUCAGGGUAGUGGGUUCAAGCCCCAC